Molecule: long non-coding RNA, 1388 nt
Organism: Triplophysa dalaica
Lineage: Eukaryota; Metazoa; Chordata; Actinopteri; Cypriniformes; Nemacheilidae
Exons: 4
Source: RefSeq, a predicted model, not a curated record
CCCUUUAAGAGAUUUCUCUCCUAUUCACGUGAUAAGGUGCGCUGACUCUGUGUGCGCAUGCGGGGAUCCGCGAGAAAAACGUGGAACAGUCUGGGUGUGAUGCGUGUCGUCGCGAUCUGUUGUUUGAGGCAUAGUUGUAAUUACGGAUUACGUGGAUCGGUUGUGCACGUGGCGAUUGAACCUCGUGGUGAGUGCUAGCGAGCAUUUGGGACCAUCUGCUCUGAGCUGGGCCCGUCGGAGACAUUUCCCCGAGGGGAGUAAAUUCUCAUCAUUUCGGCCCCUUUCACCCAAGAUGAAGAUGUAUGACUGGUCACUUACUCUAAAUCAGCAUUUGACGGACACUGAUCUAAUGUCGCAGUACAAGGGAAUGAGGCAGAGAAGCAAUUACAAGACUUCUUCCCAACUGAUCACAGCCAAAUCCAAUCACACUCGACUGUGAGAGACGCUUUAAAAACCAUUAGAGCAGCACACCUGACGGAGGCUGGCGAUGGAUGGAUGGGGAGGAGUGUCACCUCACCAGAAGCCUAAUAUGACAUCACAGGUCAACAUAUAAUCAUCCGGAAGCUUAAAUCAGAAAACAUCACUCCAUACAAGUCAGUAGAUUCUGUAACUACAUCUUUCACCACUGACGGACAUUGAAGUUGUUAUUUGCAAUGAAAGCAUAUUUCAUUAUUUUCAAAAUCAGUUGUUGACUUCUCUCAAGGUACAUUAGAAGUCACUGGUCAUUAUAUCCACUUCACGAUGACACUAAACAGCAGACAGAAGCUCUGAACACAGACAUAAUCUGACCUGCAAAACGAAGCCGGGGCAAAACACACGGCAUUAAAGCUUAUGUGCAGUGUAAGCUGCAAAUAACCUACACACUUCAAAAGUGCACUCUCUCCACCCACAGCACAUCUUUACUCAUAUCAGCACAUUAAUGUUGCAAGUAUAAAAUGAGGUGGCGUACAUGUUGCAAAUCCUUGAGGUAGAAAAUCUUCUAUGCGCCUUCCAUCGGGCCGCGGGUUUAGCAGUAUCUCGCAUCGCCUCUUGUGUUCGCGGGAACCCGCGAUAAUGAGGUGCGUUUCGAGAGGGAUGCUGACAUCCUGCACAGGGGCGUAGAACCGCCUUAAAGACAUCAAACGAAACAACACUGGCUUAUUCCCACAAUGGAUUAGUGCAAUGGGAAUGUGCGUCUGAAAAAAGUUGAGGAAUGAGUUCUUGUGUAUGGAAAAGGCAGUCGUGUGCAGCUGAGCCUGGCAGAUAUGAAACUGCUGGUUAAUUAUCACUUUCUUACUGGGACCAUGUAAAGAAGCUGAGGAGUUUUGAUGAAGUCUAUUCUUAUGACUGCAAUAUUUAAGAGACAGACAUUAAAAAAUACAAUUUCUGGAGCUGAGAGCAAACCGAGU